RNAcentral lists this unclassified non-coding RNA (424 nucleotides) under uncultured Polyscytalum. RNAcentral describes it as "sequence contains ITS2". The stretch from base 1 to 154 matches the Rfam family "5.8S ribosomal RNA". Lineage: Eukaryota; Fungi; Ascomycota; Sordariomycetes. The record is from RNAcentral.
AACUUUCGACAAUUGAUCACUUGGUUCUGGCAUCGAUGAAGAACGCAGCGAAAUGCGAUAAGUAAUGUGAAUUGCAGAAUUCAGUGAAUCAUCGAAUCUUUGAACGCACAUUGCGCCCAUUAGUAUUCUAUUGGGCAUGCCUGUUCGAGCGUCAUUUCAACCCUUAAGCUCAGCUUAGUGUUGGGAAUCUACCACGAGCGGAGUUACCCGGUACCUACCCUAUAACGGGGCCAGGUUACCCUGUAGCUACCCUGUAGUUCCUCAAAUCCAACGGCGGAGUCGUAGUCACCUCUGAGCGCAGUAAUCUUUAUCACGCUUCUGAAGGUGCUACAGCCCUAGCCGCUAAACCCCCAAUUUUUUAAUGGUUGACCUCGGAUCAGGUAGGAAUACCCGCUGAACUUAAGCAUAUCAAUAAGCGGAGGCU